Molecule: unclassified non-coding RNA, 2887 nt
Filed under: Dermacentor andersoni
Lineage: Eukaryota; Metazoa; Arthropoda; Arachnida; Ixodida; Ixodidae
Description: alpha-catulin-like
Source: RNAcentral
CCGCCACGUGACCGGCGGUCGCCAUAUUUGGAGCAGUGCCCGGGGCUGUCGGCACCCUCGCGUCCAGUGGGGGUCCUCCCGCUGCUCCUUUUCGUUCCUCUCUCCCGCCGUGUUCCUUGCGCUGGCGGUCCGACUACUCCGGUGCGAACGACGCUCUUCGGCGAAGCGGGCGGCCGCGAGGCCUGUACCACGGCUGCCUUGGGUGCCGAAGGGCAGCAGCAGGGCCUGGCCAACAGCGUCCCUGGGCGGAGGCAGGGGGGCGCGACUACGGGUCUGCGGCGCGACCAUGCGCGGCCACCGGGCCUCCGGCGUCGGAUCCGUCGUUCCGAGUCCGCGCUGGUCAGCGGCGUCGCCAUGACUCAACGCUGCCUGCGCUCGCCCAGCGUCAACUUCGCCGACUGUGAAUCGCCGCUGCCCGGAGUAACGUUCGAGCAGCCACCAGGCCGGAGGCGCUACACGCCGCGACGAAUCAGCACGCUGGUAAGCGCCAAGGACCGGGCGCUGCGCAGCGAGCAGGCGGUUCGAGCGCGCGUCGGCCAGGCCGUCAACCUGGCCGUGGAGCGGUUCGUGUCGGUCGGCGAGGCCCUGGCUGACGACAACGUCGAGAUCAAGCUCGAUAUGUACGACGCGUGCCGAAGCGCGCGCGCCGCCGGCGCCAGCAUCGAGCAGCUGUGCGACGUUCGCAUGGACGAGGCGACCGAGGACCGGGGCGCGCUGGCGCGGGCCGCGCGUGCCCUGCUCGCCUCCGUCACCCGCGUGCUCCUCCUAGCAGACACCGUCGUGGUCAAGCAGCUUCUCAGCGCUAAAGACAGGGUAUCUAUAAGCUUGAAUCGCCUUGAGAAUGUCGCUAACUUCACGGAGUUUGUGAAGGCAUUCAGCCAGUUCGGCACCGAAAUGGUUGAGCUGGCUCAUCUCACUGGAGAUAGACAGAACGACAUGAAGGACGACAAGAGAAGAGCCCAGAUGGCUUCAGCGAGGAUGAUCCUCGAGCGCUCCACCAUGCUGCUGCUCACGGCCUCAAAGGCCUGCCUGAGGCACCCGGAGUGCGAGACGGCGCGGGAGAACCGCGACACGGUGUUCCUGCAAAUGCGCCGCGCCAUGGACCUGGUGCACUUCGUGGUCAAGGACGGCGUCAUACCGGAGCUCGCCUGCGCCGCCUCCUCUUCGUCCGAGUACCGCCGCAAGGGCGCCCGCAGGGGCUCCUGGCGCCUCGACGAGUUCGACCGAUGCGCCACCGUCCACAACGCCGUCAAGAUGUUCGAGGACCUGGUGGAGACAAUGCGAAUGACGCUGGUGGGGCCCAGCUGCCGUGAGCGGUUGUCGAGUGCCUUAGACGCGGUGGUGGAGCGCACGCAGGACUUCACCGACUCGGCCUACACGUCGCACGAGCACCGGGAGAAGAUCCUCCUGCUUUGCGACAGGGCCAAGCUUGAGCUCAACCAGCUCCUCAGGAUCGGCGUCAGCCUGGAUCAGGCAGGUUGUACGUCUCCCAACGAGGACCUCGAAAACGCCAUCGAGCAGACGCUAAGGGCGACGGCAGACCUCAAGCAGCAGCUUCGCGACACGGCACUGGACCACGCGGACGAGCUGUUCAAAACGAUGGACGAAGGCGAACUGCUCAACCGGCUGAAGAACGCCUCGCUCGCCGGGGAUCACGCCAGGCUCGAGGAGUACGCGGACAAAUUCGCCGAGCACGCCGAACACGUCCAGGAGGUGUGUCGGCUUCUCUAUCACGUGGCGAGCACGGAGGCCCUCCAGGUGACCGCCAAAAACACGGAUGCAUGUAUCAAGGUCUACGGCUCCCAGGUGGUGAGCGCCUGCCAGACCCUGAGCACGCACCCAGUCAGCAAGAUCGCCAAGGAGAACGUCGAGGUGUUCAUGGAGGUGUGGCAGUCGCUGGUCAACGACGUGGCCUCGAUAUCGCGAGAGGCCAGCCAGCAGUGCCGGCCGCCGGUGCAGGGCCCUGACAGCGCACGAUCCGUCUACAUGUCGCUGCCAAGGCCCGGGCGCCACGGCACAACGAGCAAGCCCCUGAAGCCCAUGAAGCUUGACACUGAGUGCAUCAAUUCGCAGGAGCAGGCCAAGAUCGCCAAGCUCGGCCUCGAGAUGAAGCUGUUGACGUCGGAGAUGGACGCCGAGACGGAGAAGUGGCCCGCCGCCGAGAAUGACAUCGUAGGCCGGGCACGCGCCAUGUCUCAGAUGGCCUUCUCCAUGUACCAGUUCACCCGAGGAGAGGGCGACCUCAAGACCACACAGGAUCUCUUCACUCAAGCCGAAUUUUUUGCAGAAGAAGCCAACAAGCUCUAUAAGGUUGUACGGCAGUUUUCAUACCAGGUUCCCACGGGACAGCACAAGAAAGAGCUGCUUGAGUUUCUGGACAAGGUUCCCACAUUUGUCCAGCAGCUGCAGUUCACGGUGAAGAACCCAACAGUGGGAAAGGCGGCUACAUUUACCAAGGUUGAUAAUGUCAUCCAGGAAACGAAAAACCUGAUGAAUGUCAUCUCUAAAGUGGUCACAACCUGUCUAGUCUGCGCAACAAAGUACAACCUGGACUUCCGUGGCUCGGAAAGUGGCCGGGCGCACUCUCAGUGUGGCUACCAGGACGAGGAGUACAGCUACAGUGACGGAGGCGGCAGCACAGGAUUUGGGUCUAAGGGCGGCCCGGGCACCGUCAGCUCGUCAGACCCGGGCAUCUGACAUGUCCACCCUCUAUUCAAAGACAGAAUUCCUAAGACCAUGUAAUGUGACGCCCAAGCAAUGUGGAAAAAACAAACAAACAAAAAGAAACAGCUGAAGAGCAUCGUGGAAACCACUCCUGAGAAUCAGUAUUGCUAAAUAUGAUGAACCGUGCAAAGUGGAGCAAGGUGGAUACCCUCACAAAACGCCC